AGUUUUCAAAUGUUAUUCAAAGUGAACUGAUAUCCAUUAAGUUCAAAAUUCAAAUCAAAACACGAAACUUUUAAACCAAAGGUAAAACUUGAGGACUCUAGGUAACUAGGUUGCAAAACUUGUAUAUCACCUGGGAACUUAUGGGUUUCCCAGGACAGUAGAGCCUGGUAUGAUACAUUUUGCAAGAUAUACUAACAAUGCUGCAGCCAAAGAAGCGAUUAACACUAUUUCUUUUUGGUUCAUGAGGCUCCCAUUGGAGAAGACGACUGUCAAGCCAAAGCUCGUUGGUAGCAUUUAACACAACAU
This 306-nucleotide unclassified non-coding RNA is filed under the name Hevea brasiliensis (rubber tree). The record is from RNAcentral. Lineage: Eukaryota; Viridiplantae; Streptophyta; Magnoliopsida; Malpighiales; Euphorbiaceae.